ACAUAUCCUAUUACUCUGUGUUAAUGAAGACUAAAUUAUAUUAAUUUGUGCUGCUUGCAGUUGCUUAAGAAAGAAUUUAUGAAUGUAAAGCAGAAGCCUGUCUCUCUGAGCCUCACAAUGUGUUAGCUUUGCUACCUUCAACAGGAAAAAGACUGUGUGUUCUCUCAGAGGAUGCUUGUUUGAACAGAGGUACUUAUCAACAUUGGUAAGAACAGACUUUUUUUUUUUUUUAAUUUCUUUUCAAUUUGUUUCCUAUGUUUCUCGAUUUUU
RNAcentral lists this long non-coding RNA (270 nucleotides) under Zonotrichia albicollis (white-throated sparrow). RNAcentral's name for it is "lncRNA (ENSZALG00000011812.1)". The record is from RNAcentral. Lineage: Eukaryota; Metazoa; Chordata; Aves; Passeriformes; Passerellidae.